AGAUGAGGUAGAGAUCGCGAUAAAUAAUAGUUACUUGAAAGAAAGUCAGAGAACUGAACUUGCUGAUUUCAAGCGAAAGGAUUUUUCGCAGAAGCACUGAUCGCUCUGAUUACUGUUGCUGGGACUGGCACUGAAUAUGUGCAGAACUGUCAAAGUGAUUGACCAUGAAAACUAUCUUUUUG
Regulatory RNA element from Paenisporosarcina sp. HGH0030, 182 nucleotides. It matches the Rfam family "Lysine riboswitch aptamer". From Rfam's summary of the family: Riboswitches are metabolite binding domains within certain messenger RNAs that serve as precision sensors for their corresponding targets. Allosteric rearrangement of mRNA structure is mediated by ligand binding, and this results in modulation of gene expression. This family includes riboswitches that sense lysine in a number of genes involved in lysine metabolism, including lysC. NCBI's taxonomy places the organism in Bacteria, Bacillati, Bacillota, Bacilli, Caryophanales, Caryophanaceae. The record is from Rfam.